This 539-nucleotide ribosomal RNA is filed under the name Bifidobacterium adolescentis. Its description in RNAcentral is "partial 16S ribosomal RNA". It matches the Rfam family "Bacterial small subunit ribosomal RNA", at positions 163 to 711 of the family's 1533-position model. The record is from RNAcentral. Lineage: Bacteria; Bacillati; Actinomycetota; Actinomycetes; Bifidobacteriales; Bifidobacteriaceae.
GUAAUGCCGGAUGCUCCAGUUGACCGCAUGGUCCUCUGGGAAAGCUUUUGCGGUAUGGGAUGGGGUCGCGUCCUAUCAGCUUGAUGGCGGGGUAACGGCCCACCAUGGCUUCGACGGGUAGCCGGCCUGAGAGGGCGACCGGCCACAUUGGGACUGAGAUACGGCCCAGACUCCUACGGGAGGCAGCAGUGGGGAAUAUUGCACAAUGGGCGCAAGCCUGAUGCAGCGACGCCGCGUGCGGGAUGACGGCCUUCGGGUUGUAAACCGCUUUUGACUGGGAGCAAGCCCUUCGGGGUGAGUGUACCUUUCGAAUAAGCACCGGCUAACUACGUGCCAGCAGCCGCGGUAAUACGUAGGGUGCAAGCGUUAUCCGGAAUUAUUGGGCGUAAAGGGCUCGUAGGCGGUUCGUCGCGUCCGGUGUGAAAGUCCAUCGCUUAACGGUGGAUCCGCGCCGGGUACGGGCGGGCUUGAGUGCGGUAGGGGAGACUGGAAUUCCCGGUGUAACGGUGGAAUGUGUAGAUAUCGGAAAAAAAACACCA